RNAcentral lists this ribosomal RNA (385 nucleotides) under uncultured bacterium. RNAcentral's name for it is "bacterial SSU rRNA". It matches the Rfam family "Bacterial small subunit ribosomal RNA", at positions 30 to 417 of the family's 1533-position model. The record is from RNAcentral.
AUUGAACGCUGGCGGCAUGCCUUACACAUGCAAGUCGAACGGCAGCGGACCUUCGGGUGCCGGCGAGUGGCGAACGGGUGAGUAAUACAUCGGAACGUACCUUUCAGUGGGGGAUAACGUAGCGAAAGUUACGCUAAUACCGCAUAUUCUGUGAGCAGGAAAGCAGGGGAUCGCAAGACCUUGCGCUGAUUGAGCGGCCGAUAUCAGAUUAGCUAGUUGGUGAGGUAAAGGCUCACCAAGGCGACGAUCUGUAGCGGGUCUGAGAGGAUGAUCCGCCACACUGGAACUGAGACACGGUCCAGACUCCUACGGGAGGCAGCAGUGGGGAAUUUUGGACAAUGGGCGCAAGCCUGAUCCAGCCAUGCCGCGUGAGUGAAGAAGGCCU